CCGAGCGGCGGGGCCUCGUGGCCGCGCCGCCGCCGCCGGUGCGCGCAGGGCUGUCCGCUUCCCGCCGCCGCUGCAAGCCGCGCCGGCCACCUCCAUCACCGCUGCGGAGAAAGGGCGGGAGCCGCGCGAACCUCGACGCCCCCAACCUCCGGCUGCUUCCUUCCUUCACCACCGUGCAGCACCAGCUCGACGGGGGCGCCUGGAUCCGUCUUCUGCGAGUCUGGGCGCCUCCAGCGCGGCCUUCUCCUCCGAUGGAGAUCGAGCGCCGCCGUAGAGGUCGCGUCGUCUUCUGCGAAUCUGGGCGCCUCCAGCGCGGCCUUCUCUUCCGAUGGAGGUCGAGCGCCGCCGUAGAGGGAGCGCCGUCUUCUGUGAGUCUGGGCGCGUCGAGCACGUGCCGGCGGCGGGAGUCCGCGGUGUCGCUGUGGUGCACUCGUCUCGAGCUAAGCCAGGGGCCACGACUCCAUCCCCUGCAGAGUCCGCGGUGUUUGCUAUGGUUUGUAAAUUAGCAAAUACGAGGGCGUAGGAUGGGGAACGAGAGGAUCACCUCAGCUGCCUCCUUAACUUCUUUCUGGUCGCCUCCCAAUUUUUGUUGUGUUUGGACAGAUACGAGCACUACAUAAGCAUAAUUAUUUGAUUUUUUUUAUCCUUCUCUGUGAUUAUUUUCUUCUUUCUAGACUGUUGGAGCGUUCCUAAACUGAUUACAUGAGAUACUUGGUUCAUUGUCCAAGUGUGCUGCUCA
This is a non-coding RNA of Lolium perenne, 739 nucleotides long. The record is from RefSeq and is a predicted model, not a curated record. Lineage: Eukaryota; Viridiplantae; Streptophyta; Magnoliopsida; Poales; Poaceae.